UGUUUCCAAUCUGUUGUGGACAUCCAUUGAAAUGCAGUACAUCUGGCGCAAUGUAACAGAGUGCUUAUGGGUAAUGAAAACUUGAGGGGCUUUAGGGUUGUCAGACAAUUUUUGGGCCAAACCUAGCUCAAAUUCUACACGUUGGAGUAAAACGAGGCUACAGCGUCCAUAAGGUAACCAUUAAGCCUCGUUCACAUUACCCAUAAGCACUCCAUUACGCUGUGCUGGAUGUCAUGCAUUUCAAUGGGGACGUCCACAACGGAGUGGAAUUACAUCGCCCCACUUGCGGUUGAAGGCACCGUUGCGACAUAAUUUGACAUUUUCCAAACUUUGCCUUGUCUUCAGUCCAGCCAGAGUCCGGAAGUUACCAAACCACAGAACAAGAUGAAAAUGUGUGGUUUUCAUUGAUGGAUGAUGGCUGCAAUCCACUCCCAGUUAAGCGGGGUCCGGUCAGGCCACCUUCAGCUCCAAAAUGCCCUGGGGGAUGUGAUGGACAUCCAGAACUUUCUUUCUGGUAGAAGUCAGCAAUGACUGGAGGCAAAACAUUAACACCAUUGAGAACCUGAAGUAUGUAAAAUAUGCUGGGACGCAACAUCAGCGGUGGCUCCUCAGAGGAGGAAAUGCCUGAGUUGGUGGCAGGACACUCCAUUAAUGAUAGAGCAAGCCGAGCUGUUGAAGGGCCACCACAAGCUGAUGAACCUGGAGUGCUCAUGGAAUUACUUAAUGUACGAUCAGUACAGGAUGGGCAGCAAGAACACACACAACAUGAACCUCAAUCCAACAAGAUUGUGUCCCUCCACACCUGGGUCCUCAAUUAAAGGGAAACUUCACUGCUAGCCACUAUCUCCCUACAUCAUUUUAAGUGAUGAGAGGGUGUUCCUGACAUAAUUAUGCAGCAUAGAGGUAUUUUUGAAUAUUCGCAACGGUAGAGGUCAACCAAUGACGUCAUUGUUUGAUUGAGCCUGCUGUCUGAUCCCAAAAUUUACAGAGUCAUGCUUUGUAGCAAUUAUUGUGGCCUUUGUGUUACGCCGAUUGUACAAUCACACUAGCAGUGAGUAGAUAUGGUUGUCCUUGUUCAAUAGAGCCAUUGGCCUUGUCCCAACGAUGUUCCUAUCUGACACAACAUUGCAGGAUAUCUAGGUUGACUCAUGUUCUCUGGCUUUUUUUAUGUUCUUUUACAUACUAACAUAGGGACAUACUGCCCUAUUAAUUUGAGCCGGAAUACAGUGAAGAGGAGUUGAGACAGCGAGGACAAGAAUUGCGAGGCCAGCAAGCAGCGAUGGGGAGCCACGGGCAGACUUUGACUAGUGGUGCCUAUGUGGGUGCUGUCCAGCCACGCCGACAGAAGAGAAAUGUCUGUGCUGCAACUAAUUAGAUUGUGGACGGUUCAUACUGGAGAUGGUCACUGCAGACCCCAUGGAUUGUGUGUCUGAUACAGACCAUCAAAGUUUUGACGCACAUAUGGAUAGAAGUGUGCUGGAGACAUUUUUCAGAACCUCCAAGAUCAAAUGGCGGCGGCAGCCUAGACCAGCGGGGUAGUACGUUGUUUUGCUGUUGGUAGCUACUAGCUAGCUAGUAAUAUAAGCUCUCUUUUCACAUGAGGCAGUGUUGUUCAGUACAGUAUAAUUUUGUGAUUGAUUCGGCCAUAACGGGGCUUGCUAGUACCACUACAAGUUGAACUAGCUAGCUUUGUUUGCUAUACCCAAAAUGUCCCGUAGCCUAAUGUUAUCGUUACCUAGCUAUUGUAAGCUAGCUAUCAUAGCUAGCCUCAGUGCAUCUUAUUAGUAGCAAAAAUGGAUAAAUGUUUUGAUGAUGAUGACGAAGAGUAAAGAAAUGACUUUGGCUUUAUGACUCAUAUUGGUCUACCUGUGUGUCUGUGAGAUUUGUAAUAUUCUGCAUCAUGCUGCUACUGUAGGAAUACAGACAGUACACAAUGAUUGGCCAUUAAAGUCUAAUAGCGUUUUGUCAUU
This is a long non-coding RNA of Oncorhynchus mykiss (rainbow trout), 1970 nucleotides long. RefSeq lists it as uncharacterized. Lineage: Eukaryota; Metazoa; Chordata; Actinopteri; Salmoniformes; Salmonidae. The record is from RefSeq and is a predicted model, not a curated record.